This is a long non-coding RNA of Corvus hawaiiensis (hawaiian crow), 309 nucleotides long. RefSeq lists it as uncharacterized. The transcript has 2 exons. The record is from RefSeq and is a predicted model, not a curated record. Lineage: Eukaryota; Metazoa; Chordata; Aves; Passeriformes; Corvidae.
AACACACCUGGAGAGGAGAGGGCGAGGAAGGGGUGAGCACGUUGCAGGCUGCUCUCCUCUGCCAGUCUGAAGAUGAACACUACUGCUUGGCACAGGCCUCAAGAAGAAUGGUGGGAGUUCAUAACUGAACUAUGGUCUGUCUGCUUGGAAGGGUAAAGUGCAAGAGCAAACCAAGAUACUCUCUUGCCUCCACAAUCCCGCCUGGUCUCCACUGGUCCCAAAACACUCAUUUGCUUUUUUGAAACCUGAACUAACUUAUCACAGUUACUGUAGCUCCCUAUUUAACAGCUGUGUUGUAAAGCUUAUGAA